This is a non-coding RNA of Paramuricea clavata, 219 nucleotides long. The record is from the annotation of a GenBank genome assembly. NCBI's taxonomy places the organism in Eukaryota, Metazoa, Cnidaria, Anthozoa, Malacalcyonacea, Plexauridae.
GUUUUUGUUUGGGUUGAUGCACUUUCACGGUUAUUGAACGUAUUGUAUUUUCAGUAUAAUGAAGCAAUCAUCCAAUAGCAACGUUUGGGUCCAGUCGUUCAGGCAUACAUUUAAAUAUUAAUAAACCUAAGACAAACGAAUUGUGCACCUUCAUGUCCUUUCCAACAUAAAUUGUAUAACCAUUGUUAAUCACUUUGAAAUCUGCCGGCUUUCCAAACC